GGCUUUAUAGUGUAAUAUAGCACAUUAGAUUGCAAGUCUAAAAGAGGGUCACCCUAAAGCUU
Molecule: transfer RNA, 62 nt
Filed under: Ophiura luetkenii
Lineage: Eukaryota; Metazoa; Echinodermata; Ophiuroidea; Amphilepidida; Ophiuridae
Description: tRNA-Cys
Rfam family: tRNA
About the family: Transfer RNA (tRNA) molecules are approximately 80 nucleotides in length. Their secondary structure includes four short double-helical elements and three loops (D, anti-codon, and T loops).
Source: RNAcentral